GUUGGUGUGGCAGAGCCCGGCUAUGCAAAGGCCCUAAAAACCUUGUACGGAAGUUCAAACCCUCCCCCCAACU
RNAcentral lists this transfer RNA (73 nucleotides) under Arnoglossus tenuis (dwarf lefteye flounder). RNAcentral describes it as "tRNA-Leu". It matches the Rfam family "tRNA". From Rfam's summary of the family: Transfer RNA (tRNA) molecules are approximately 80 nucleotides in length. Their secondary structure includes four short double-helical elements and three loops (D, anti-codon, and T loops). Lineage: Eukaryota; Metazoa; Chordata; Actinopteri; Pleuronectiformes; Bothidae. The record is from RNAcentral.